AAAGCAAAAGAAAGGUGGUGGUUAAUCAACUACAGAAACUGGAGGACAAUGUGAGAGAAGUCGACCAGAAACUCUUUGACUUCAUGAUUGAGACGUAUGAUGCACAACAUCAAACUAUAAUGCUACUGGGCCAAAAGUUUGAAUAACUCACAAAGAUGCUGUGAGGUUAGCAAGGCUGGGUGAGUCGUCACUAAAUAUAAGUUAUUCUUCCACUACACCGACUUAGGAUUGGGUUUACUCCCAACCCAAAGCAACAAGAUGCUAGGAGUAGUUGCAUGCAAAACCUAUAGAAUAACCCGUUAGGAGAUCCU
RNAcentral lists this long non-coding RNA (311 nucleotides) under Carica papaya (papaya). Its description in RNAcentral is "long non-coding RNA (CPAP_LNC016043)". Lineage: Eukaryota; Viridiplantae; Streptophyta; Magnoliopsida; Brassicales; Caricaceae. The record is from RNAcentral.